Molecule: ribosomal RNA, 301 nt
Filed under: uncultured bacterium
Lineage: Bacteria
Description: partial 16S ribosomal RNA
Rfam family: Bacterial small subunit ribosomal RNA
Source: RNAcentral
CAGUCGCCACGGUAACACGUAGGGUGCGAGCGUUAAUCGGAAUUACUGGGCGUAAAGCGUGCGCAGGCGGUUUUGUAAGACAGGCGUGAAAUCCCCGGGCUCAACCUGGGAAUGGCGCUUGUGACUGCAAAGCUAGAGUGCGGCAGAGGGGGAUGGAAUUCCGCGUGUAGCAGUGAAAUGCGUAGAUAUGCGGAGGAACACCGAUGGCGAAGGCAAUCCCCUGGGCCUGCACUGACGCUCAUGCACGAAAGCGUGGGGAGCAAACAGGAUUAGAUACCCGCGUAGUCCCUGUCUCUUAUAC